AGUGGGGAAUUUUGGACAAUGGGCGCAAGCCUGAUCCAGCAAUGCCGCGUGAGUGAAGAAGGCCUUCGGGUUGUAAAGCUCUUUUGUCAGGGAAGAAACGGUAGGAGCUAAUAUCUCUUGCUAAUGACGGUACCUGAAGAAUAAGCACCGGCUAACUACGUGCCAGCAGCCGCGGUAAUACGUAGGGUGCAAGCGUUAAUCGGAAUUACUGGGCGUAAAGCGUGCGCAGGCGGUUUUGUAAGUCUGUCGUGAAAGCCCCGGGCUCAACCUGGGAAUUGCGAUGGAGACUGCAAGGCUUGAAUCUGGCAGAGGGGGGUAGAAUUCCACGUGUAGCAGUGAAAUGCGUAGAGAUGUGGAGGAACACCGAUGGCGAAGGCAGCCCCCUGGGUCAAGAUUGACGCUCAUGCACGAAAGCGUGGGGAGCAAA
This 427-nucleotide ribosomal RNA is filed under the name uncultured Massilia sp. RNAcentral's name for it is "bacterial SSU rRNA". It matches the Rfam family "Bacterial small subunit ribosomal RNA", at positions 353 to 772 of the family's 1533-position model. Lineage: Bacteria; Pseudomonadati; Pseudomonadota; Betaproteobacteria; Burkholderiales; Oxalobacteraceae. The record is from RNAcentral.